RNAcentral lists this ribosomal RNA (459 nucleotides) under uncultured bacterium. RNAcentral's name for it is "partial 16S ribosomal RNA". It matches the Rfam family "Bacterial small subunit ribosomal RNA", at positions 338 to 795 of the family's 1533-position model. The record is from RNAcentral.
CCUACGGGAGGCAGCAGUGAGGAAUAUUGGUCAAUGGCCGUAAGGCUGAACCAGCCAAGUAGCGUGAGGGAAGACUGCCCUAUGGGUUGUAAACCUCUUUUAUGCGGGGAUAAAGGUGUCACGUGUGGACUUUUGCAAGUACCGCAUGAAAAAGGACCGGGUUAAUUCGGUCCAGCAGCCGGGGUAAUACGGGAGGUCCGGGCGUUAUUCGGAUUUAUUGGGUUUAAAGGGAGCGUAGGCGGGUCUUUAAGCGGGCCGGGAAAUUUUGUGGCUCAACCAUGAGAGUGCGGCGCGAACUGGAGGCCUUGAGUGCGCGGAAGGCAGGCGGAAUUCGUGGUGUAGCGGUGAAAUGCUUAGAUAUCACGAAGAACCCCGAUUGCGAAGGCAGCCUGCCGAAGCGUUACUGACGCUGAAGCUCGAAAGCGCGGGUAUCGAACAGGAUUAGAUACCCCAGUAGUC